Molecule: small RNA, 27 nt
Filed under: Bombyx mori (domestic silkworm)
Lineage: Eukaryota; Metazoa; Arthropoda; Insecta; Lepidoptera; Bombycidae
Description: ovarian small RNA-11622
Source: RNAcentral
ACUAACUGUGAUUCACGCGCCAAUAGA